AACAAACUACAACAACAAGAAAACGUCCACACUAUGAUGAUGCUGGCCCAAAUUUUGUCCACCCAUCCAAGCUCAUUUUUACCGACUCAAUCCAUCGUAAAGAUGGCCGAUUGAGCGGGUAAUCGCCCAAUCUGGCAACGUUUCUUGGCCGUAAAAUUCCCGCUCCAAACCGACCAUGUCGAGCACGUACAGCCGUCGGGCUGACAAAAGCACGGCCUUCGGGCACACAGGAGGGGCGGCGCCCCGGGGCCCUUAAGGGACCCCACGACCCUCGGUAUUACCUGUUUCCAUUAGGUGUAGCAAAUGAGGAGCUCGCUCCCACAGAAAGCACAGAGGAGGCGACCAGAACCUCACUGGGACAAACUCUGAAUAUCUGAAGCAACAGAGUAAAAGAUCAAGAUAUGUUGCAAGGAGCUGUAGAGAGAUCAGGGACAGAUAUGGCGAACAAGAAGCAUUUACUAAGAGAUGACUGAGUCUUCUGCUUCACUGUUCCGCCGCUGAGAGGAUUAUUUGAACCUGUAGUUUACACCACACAUCAUGUCAGUCAGCAAUCGCUGUUGUAGCCAUUUAGAUGUCAGUUCAGGUCAAGUCAGGUUUAUUUGUUUAGCUCUUUAUCACAAUGUUAUUGAGAAUGAGCCUUGUGUUUCUGCUUGUGUGAUAGGCCCUAAAAAACAGAACAGAGUCAUUUGUAGUGAAGCCACACGCCAGCAGAUGGAGUUAUUAAGCGACAUAUUCAAA
Xiphias gladius (swordfish) is the source of this 738-nucleotide long non-coding RNA. RefSeq lists it as uncharacterized. Lineage: Eukaryota; Metazoa; Chordata; Actinopteri; Istiophoriformes; Xiphiidae. The transcript has 4 exons. The record is from RefSeq and is a predicted model, not a curated record.